Molecule: transfer RNA, 63 nt
Filed under: Ictidomys tridecemlineatus (thirteen-lined ground squirrel)
Lineage: Eukaryota; Metazoa; Chordata; Mammalia; Rodentia; Sciuridae
Description: Spermophilus tridecemlineatus (thirteen-lined ground squirrel) tRNA
Rfam family: tRNA
About the family: Transfer RNA (tRNA) molecules are approximately 80 nucleotides in length. Their secondary structure includes four short double-helical elements and three loops (D, anti-codon, and T loops). Further hydrogen bonds mediate the characteristic L-shaped molecular structure. tRNAs have two regions of fundamental functional importance: the anti-codon, which is responsible for specific mRNA codon recognition, and the 3' end, to which the tRNAs corresponding amino acid is attached (by aminoacyl-tRNA synthetases). tRNAs cope with the degeneracy of the genetic code in two manners: having more than one tRNA (with a specific anti-codon) for a particular amino acid; and 'wobble' base-pairing, i.e. permitting non-standard base-pairing at the 3rd anti-codon position.
Source: Rfam by way of RNAcentral
GGGGAUGUAGCUCAGUGGUAGAGCACUUGCCUAGCAUGCACUGAGGCCCUAGUUCCAUCCCCA